UGCCAGCAGCCGCGGUAAUACGGAGGGAGCGAGCGUUAAUCGGAAUUACUGGGCGUAAAGCGCGCGUAGGCGGCUUUGUAAGUCGGAUGUGAAAGCCCAGGGCUUAACCCUGGAAUUGCAUUCGAUACUGCAUGGCUAGAGUAUGGUAGAGGGAAGUGGAAUUUCCGGUGUAGCGGUGAAAUGCGUAGAUAUCCGGAGGAACAUCAGUGGCGAAGGCGGCUUCCUGGACCAACACUGACGCUGAGGCGCGAAGGCGUGGGGAGCAAACAGGAUUAGAUA
Molecule: ribosomal RNA, 279 nt
Filed under: uncultured bacterium
Lineage: Bacteria
Description: partial 16S ribosomal RNA
Rfam family: Bacterial small subunit ribosomal RNA
Source: RNAcentral